Molecule: ribosomal RNA, 164 nt
Filed under: Escherichia coli
Lineage: Bacteria; Pseudomonadati; Pseudomonadota; Gammaproteobacteria; Enterobacterales; Enterobacteriaceae
Also listed under: 1 other name
Description: partial 16S ribosomal RNA
Rfam family: Bacterial small subunit ribosomal RNA
Source: RNAcentral
UUAAAUUGAAGAGUUUGAUCAUGGCUCAGAUUGAACGCUGGCGGCAGGCCUAACACAUGCAAGUCGAACGGUAACAGGAAUCAGCUUGCUGAUUCGCUGACGAGUGGCGGACGGGUGAGUAAUGUCUGGGAAACUGCCUGAUGGAGGGGGAUAACUACUGGAAA